UACAGAGGGUGCGAGCGUUAAUCGGAGUUACUGGGCGUAAAGGGCGCGUAGGCGGUUAGUUAAGAUUGUUGUGAAAUCCCUGGGCUUAACCUAGGAACUGCAACGAUGACUGGCUAGCUAGAGUACUGUAGAGGGUAGUGGAAUUUCCGGUGUAGCGGUGAAAUGCGUAGAGAUCGGAAGGAACACCAGUGGCGAAGGCGGCUACCUGGACAGAUACUGACGCUGAUGCGCGAGAGCGUGGGGAGCAAACAGG
This 253-nucleotide ribosomal RNA is filed under the name uncultured prokaryote. RNAcentral describes it as "partial 16S ribosomal RNA". It matches the Rfam family "Bacterial small subunit ribosomal RNA", at positions 524 to 776 of the family's 1533-position model. The record is from RNAcentral.